Molecule: ribosomal RNA, 570 nt
Filed under: uncultured bacterium
Lineage: Bacteria
Description: bacterial SSU rRNA
Rfam family: Bacterial small subunit ribosomal RNA
Source: RNAcentral
GGACCCGCACAAGCGGUGGAUGAUGUGGAUUAAUUCGAUGCAACGCGAAAAACCUUACCUACCCUUGACAUGGAUGGAAUCCCGAAGAGAUUUGGGAGUGCUCGAAAGAGAACCAUCACACAGGUGCUGCAUGGCUGUCGUCAGCUCGUGUCGUGAGAUGUUGGGUUAAGUCCCGCAACGAGCGCAACCCUUGUCAUUAGUUGCUACGAAAGGGCACUCUAAUGAGACUGCCGGUGACAAACCGGAGGAAGGUGGGGAUGACGUCAAGUCCUCAUGGCCCUUAUGGGUAGGGCUUCACACGUCAUACAAUGGUACAUACAGAGGGCCGCCAACCCGCGAGGGGGAGCUAAUCCCAGAAAGUGUAUCGUAGUCCGGAUUGGAGUCUGCAACUCGACUCCAUGAAGUUGGAAUCGCUAGUAAUCGCGGAUCAGCAUGUCGCGGUGAAUACGUUCCCGGGUCUUGUACACACCGCCCGUCACACCAUGGGAGCGGGUUUUACCAGAAGUGGGUAGCCUAACCGCAAGGAGGGCGCUCACCACGGUAGGAUUCGUGACUGGGGUGAAGUCGUAA